RNAcentral lists this long non-coding RNA (674 nucleotides) under Cucumis sativus (cucumber). RNAcentral's name for it is "long non-coding RNA (CSAT_LNC001648)". Lineage: Eukaryota; Viridiplantae; Streptophyta; Magnoliopsida; Cucurbitales; Cucurbitaceae. The record is from RNAcentral.
UCCUCUUGAAGACCUCCAUGUAGAAAAACAUUCUUAAUGUCAAGUUGAUGCAAAGGUCAUUUAUGGCUAGCAACCAUGAAAAGAAAUAGGCAAAUGGAAGUUAAUUUGGCAAUUGGAGAAAAUGUAUUUGAAUAAUCAGUUCCAUAGAUUGAGCAUAACCUUUAGCAACAAAGCGAGCUUUCAAUUGAGCCACUGUUCCAUCAUAAUUCACCUUGACAACAAACACUCAUUUACAACCAAUGACCUUCUUUCCUGCAGGAUGAGAUACCAAAUCCCAAGUACCAUUAUAUGGAGUCAAUAGACGUAAUAAAAGCAUAUAUGAUGGGAGACGACCGGUGAUAGGAAACAAAGGAAGAAACAGGGUAAGUACAGUUGCGUUUACCUUUUCGAAGAGCAAUGGGAAGAUCAUCACUUGGCCUCGGAUCACUUGAUGAAGGAGGCAUUGAUGGAGGACAUGAAUCUAAAGGUUGUGGUGGAGGUUGUCGGUGUCGAAAUAAUGGUCAGUUGAAGAUGACCUAAACUUAAGCCUAAUGGAGAACGAAGCCACCAACUACGAUAUUCCAAAUUCCAAACCCUAACGGCUUUGAUACCAUGUAAUCAAGAAUUUAGAGAAAAAUAUAUUUCUUAUUCAUGUAGAGUCAGAAUAAAGUUACAUAUAUAUGUAUAGAGAGAGA